CUACCCCUGCCUCCCCAUGUCCUGUCCCACCAAACCAUGCAAAUCUCCCUGCAACCAGAAGCCCUUUUGGAGCCAGGGAGCGAAAUACGGAGAGCGCCGCACGGACAGCUUUUUCUCUUGGAGAUUCCACAGCAGUAAAAAGAAAAACAAAAUUCCAAUUAAUAUCGCAAUAAAUUAAUCUACCACAAAGGCUCCGUCCCGAACUGCCCCCCACCCUCUCCUUCACACCAGGUCUGCGGGGGCCGCUGCAGCUCCGACGUGGGCCACUAGGGGCCCUCUGCUCCCCUGGCCUGUGGGAGAGAAAACGUCUUUUUUCCAACUUUCUUAAUAAAAAAAGGUCUCAUGGGUAUUUUCCAAAGAAUAUCCCCAAAUGAACCAAGGGAAAGUAAAAGAAGUUUCUAAAAGCUGCUCCAGACAGCAAACACAGUUUAGAGUAGAAGAUGACCAAACCCUGCUCUUUGCUCUCUUGAUAGACGAUGGACGCAGCUACCUGGCUCUGGCCUCGGUUCCUUUUCUUCCCCUCUGAGGGGACACAGAGCAACCAAAAAUCAAGCUGGCCGGGAUAUGAGAGUGAGCAGGAAGGAACUCUACUGCCUUUCGUCCUGUAGUUCUUAAUCAUCUCUCAUGGCCUGACCCUGGGAGGUUCUCCCAGCUCCCGCCUCUCCCGGCUUUUCCUCCGACCAUCCUGAUCUCGGACUUCCCCUCCGCUGGCCGGGAGGAAGGAGCUCCUGGUCCUCCUGCGCAGACUUGUGGGCGUUUCUGCAGCCCACCCCGAGGUCUCAGCGGCUGUCAGCUUUGGGAGUCUUAGCGCCAACCUCUCCUCUUGCUCGUGUCUGUUCUGACUGUUCCUCACCUUCCCACCGUGGCCUCAGGACUGUCAGCAAGGCUGAGGCGGAGUCAGGAUCGGAACCCAGCUCUCUGGAGUCCCAAACUGUGGACUGCCGCUUACACCGCAAGCCCUCCUUCGGAGGGGGACAGAGACACGUAAAGUGACAGUGGGAAUAAGGACAGGAAGGUGUGCAUUUAAAAUGUUUGCAACACUGAAAGGUCUUGCUCGUAAAACCGAACAAAUUAGAGUGUUUAGAAGAAAAUAUCUGUCUUUGCCUUCUUGGCUGGUUCAGAAUUUCGUUGAAAAGAACUGAUUUUCUAUACCUUGCAGUGUCCUGGUUUCCAAGGACUCGCGCUUCAGUCUGACAGGAUACCUCCCUUCCCCGUACUCUGGGCUGCAUUUCAUCGCUGGCCCAAGCCAGUCACUAAGAGGCUCCCUGGAAUCAGCCUGACAGCAAACUGACAAGACCGUUGGCCGGUAUAAUCACAAGCGGAGCUGAGGACGUCCUGAUGCCUGACCCUGGGCGCUUACGUCCCGUCCCUCGCCGUGGCUCUGUGUGGACGCCUUUCAGUAAAAUCUCUUCAGCUGAGCCAUGUGGGAGUGAAUUCUGAUUCCGCAUCCUAUUUGUCACAUCAUUCUUGGUGACACAAGUCACACAUCGCUUUUCUCAGUUUCCCAUUUUUCCUUUGACUUUGUUGUGGUGCUUUUUCAUGAAAUUAUUUUUUUAAAGUGUGCACAUUUAUUUUUCCUGUUAUUUUUACUUCAGCUAUGGGGAUCAUAAUUAAUAAAGUUUUUCUUGCUUCCUGGUUAUAAAGGAAGGAAUCCUACAUUUCUUCUAGAAUUUAUUUGAGUUUCACUUUUAACAUUUUGAUCUCUGACCCACUGGAAUUUACUCCAUAGGCAAUCUCUUAUGUCACCUUCUGGGCACAGACUUUAUUGUUUGGUAUAUGCUAUUUCCUGGGACAACCAUAAUAAUCUCUUUUAUUCCAAUCCUCCAAAACUGUGAGUCAGUGAUAACUUUUUGUUUGUUUGAUUUAAGCCACCCAGUUGGGACAUUUUAUGAUGACUCUCAAUCCUAUAGCUCUGGAAACUGAAUGCUGAAGAUUCCCAGACUUCUGUCGAGGACUCACACCUCUUUCCAGCCGUUCACUUCACGUCCUCACUUGGAUAACUCGUAGACAUCUCUAACCUGACGUGUCCAGACUGAAUUUCCGACGUCCGUCCGGUAACCCGCAUCUCCAGGCUCUGCCUCUCCGCUGACAGCAACUCCAGCCGUCAGCGGCUCAGACAAUGGCCCUGGAGUCAACCCUGACACUUUUGUUUUUUCAUGUACCCCACAUCCAACCAUACGGAAAUCUUAUUACAUCUGCUUGGAAAUAUAGCCCGGAUCCAACCCUUUCUUACCCCCUGGUAGCACCUGGUCCGAGACACCAGCCUCCCCAGCUCCCUCCAUUCUACUCUAGUAGACGCCAACGUCCUCCCCAGGUCUGUGAGAUCCACACAAAUCCCCCCUUCUCUCUUCCUCUUCCCUGCCUGGCCCGGCUCCUCCGACGCCGGCUCGCUCUGGCUCGCUCUGCUGUAGCUGCCCCGGCCUGCUUGCUCUGCCGUGUAGACGCAAGGCGCACUCCUACAUUAGAUUCUGACUGUCCCAAAUACCUUUCUCGAGAACACACCCUAAUGACUAAUUUAUUCACCUCCUUCAAGGCUUUGCUCACGUGUCAGAUUGUCAAUAAGCUCUACCCUGACCGCCCUAUUUAAUAUUAAAAACUACCCUCUGUUCUCCAAAUCCUCCUUGUCCUGCUCUGAUUUUGCUUAGAAUAUAAGCUCCUGGGGACAGGCAGGGUCUUCCGCUUUGCUCACUGAUGUAUCCCAAGAGCACAUAAUAAGUGCUCAGUACGUACUUGCUCUGGAUGAAAACACACAUAUCGAUGUGUAUAUUUGAAUAUGUUUAUCAGGUGCUUAAGUGCAUUUUUAAUUUUAAACUAUGUUUUUAAAAUUAAUACAAUAAUACAUACUUACUGUAAAGAAUUCAAUACAGAAAGUGUAUAAAGUAAAAAGUAGAAGUACCUGUUUCCACUAACCCAUGUCUGACUGUAACCACUGUUUCUUUCUUUCUUUUUUUUAAUUU
Molecule: long non-coding RNA, 2957 nt
Organism: Mustela erminea (ermine)
Lineage: Eukaryota; Metazoa; Chordata; Mammalia; Carnivora; Mustelidae
Exons: 3
Source: RefSeq, a predicted model, not a curated record